AAACACUUGAUACUAACUGAACUAUCUACAUCCUAGCCUUGUGUCAAAGGCUUGUGAUAGCUGGGUUUAAGAACUGCAAUAUUGAAACAAAAGCCAUGAGUCUUUUAAGCUCAGUGUAUAAAGACACACUCUGAGUUAUAACUCAGUGGCAUAACU
Phyllostomus discolor (pale spear-nosed bat) is the source of this 156-nucleotide non-coding RNA. RefSeq annotates it as small Cajal body-specific RNA 1. The transcript has a single exon. The record is from RefSeq and is a predicted model, not a curated record. NCBI's taxonomy places the organism in Eukaryota, Metazoa, Chordata, Mammalia, Chiroptera, Phyllostomidae.